This is a long non-coding RNA of Homo sapiens (human), 549 nucleotides long. Lineage: Eukaryota; Metazoa; Chordata; Mammalia; Primates; Hominidae. The record is from Ensembl.
CGCUCAGGCAGUUCUCUUAAGAAAUGAUGAACUGCUCUAUUGGCAGCCGCCACAGGAGUUCACAAAGAAGAGGCAUUAGGCUGGCAAGCAGAGCUGGUGGGAUUUACCUUUGACGUAGUGAGCUCCUUGAAGCUACAACAAUGCCAUAUGCAUCCUGUCACAGUGUCUGGUAGAAGCUGCAAAGCCUUCUGGGAGCCUCAUAUCAUCUCCCGUGGGCAGCUGUCUUGUGUCCCUGGGCAGAAUCACUCUUCAAGAAAGCAUCAGCAAGCAUCACAGGAGGCUGAAGCACGAGAAUCACUUAUCUGUAUAAGAAAUAGUGUCAAGAUGAAUUGUUGUGUCCUCAAGGGUAGCAAGCUCUCCCUCAUUCCUUCUCAGAUAUCUUGCAUUACCCUAUUUUACUAACGAAAAAAUAUUCUCUAAUUUAAGCACAAUGGCAUAUUUUAUUUUCCUAAUGAACUACUUUCUGUGAUUUUGGACUAUCCCAUUGCUGAAAUGUUUUAUCUGAUUUUUGAUGCUCUAAUGAUCCCAAUAAAUUAUAAACAUUUUGCA